UUCUAUGUCCUUCUAUAGAUAUGUUCCUAAUGUUGGACUUUAGGAACUGCAGUGGCAGACAGCAACUUUUAUUUUCCCCAGCCACCAUAGCCCCACUCAAUAUGACAUUUAGACAGAUGAGCCAGCAAUACAGUAGUUACAUGUGUCUGGGAUUUGUUUUUUAAAUUAUAUGUACCGCUUUUAAUAGCCUGAUUACAGCUGUUCAGUAAGUGAUGCCUCUAGACUGAAGAGGACCGAAAUGAGAAGCAGGCCAGCUAAGAGGGCUGGGAGCAGCACGUUCCCCUUGUUAUUGCCAGCUAGUGGGGAGAGAACAUAUGGCCACUUUACAAAGUUAAGAAUCACAAACAGCAGACAAGAAUGAAUGAUUAAUGCUGGAGUUCCUGGAGUAUGGGCCAAAGAAGUUCCCCCAAACCUUACAAACAGAAACACAUGCCUCUGCCAGUCCCCACAUGGGAUCCCAGAUGAGAAACCUCUCAAGGAGAAUAACAAAAUGCAGUUGGAAUCAAAGUGUAUGAAGCCUCCCAGACACACCCAGCAGGAGUCACCAGGAAGCAGCUGGGAAGAGGCUGACAGCCCACCAGCAAUGAGACCACAGGAGCUGCUGCUCCCGGGAGGGAGUCUGCUGUCAUCCUCCACUUGCUAGAGUUCUCCCUCCUCUCUGCUUGUUACACACUGCUUCCCUGCUCUAGAGCUUGCUCCAGAGAUGACUUCAACAGAACAGAGUGGCUCUUCCUUACUUGAAACACAGAUCCAUUGUACCUGUGGCUUUGGCUCUGGAUUGUCUUUCUACUUAGAGGAGAACAAGGGUGUGACUGAGCCACAUGAUGGAAAGUAAAGGUACAACCAAAAAUUGUGGCGUUUCCUCUUGUUUAUGACAUUAAAUUUCCCUCAGCCUCUACCCUCAUGCUGCCUGCUUCUCUAAGGCUGCUCCCAGGGAACAAGUUAAUAAUCUCAAAUACAGUAAUUUUUGCCCCUUUCAGAGGUAAGAGUUUAACAGGGGACAAAGGACGAAUUUUCCAUCAUGGCAUUUCAAACAUCAGUAAAAUGUUGAUUAUUUUUCAGCACUCUUGAUAUUAUAUCUGAGUAGCUCUUGUAGAAAUUAAUGCAAGCUGUGUUUUCACUGCAAUGUGCCCUUACUGUAUUCACAUGCAGCGAGAGGUUAUGCUGAUGGAACUUGGCCAUGAUUUGUGAUAUUGUUUAUUUACAUGUAUUAAUAUAAAAUAAAAUGCAACGUGCUAAGUAACAUUUAAGCCCUCAUUAACCUGUUCCUGAACUAUUUUUCCAACUCCAUUGAUCCCUACUCCUUGUGAUUCAGCCAGUACCUCAACUGUUUGUUUCUAUGCUUGUUCAAGGUUUGUAAUCCUUAGUCCUUUGCUCAAAAUGAGAGUCAGCCUGGCAUAAGGGAAAAAGCACUCAACUCAGACGAGCCUGAGUGGGAAACAUGACUUAAAUAAGUUAGCAACUUAUGCAAUAUCAUUUAUAUAACUUUGAGCCUUUAGCAUAAUCAUCUGUAAAAUGAAGCUUCCCACUGUGGGAUGUUCUUGAAAAGGGUGUUAUAGGAUAUGGAAGCACUAUGCACAGAUGAGGCUCUCAGUAAAGUUGUUCCAUCAUCUCUGAGUACGCAAAUUUUAUUCAUCCUUUAAGUUGCAGCCCAGAUAGCACCUUUUGCAUAAAGUGUCUACUGAUUGCCUCCACUGGGAUGCAAUCUUUCCCUCUUCUCAACUCCUAUCUCUCUUUGCCUUUAUCAAUCAUAUAGUAAGUGCGUCUUUUUAUUUUGUAUCACAGGGUCUCAAACUGAGACUCUGAAUGUGGCUUGUGCAGAGUGCUUCCUGGGAUUCUGUGUGUAUGGGUUACUCUGCAUGGAGCCUCCUGUUGCCAACCAAAAAAGGACUAAGCUUGGCUCCUUUCCAAUUCUCUGUACAUAAUUUUGUAUUCAUAUUAUGUUCUUUUUCUUGAAGAAGGCCCUGAUUUUAUAGGUGUCAGUCCCCCCAAAUCCUGAUUAGCACCUGGGGAGGAGGGAGAUGAGGGUAUGGAACUACUGGCAUGGUGUCUGUCCAUAUCCGCAGAGCUGAAGGAGUUGUAUGGAUGAAAGACAUAAUGGUAUUGGAAACAAGUGUGCUCUUUGGGGUCUGGAUAACAAAGUAUGGCAAAAGUUGAGGAGUUGAGGGAAUAUCUGCAAUCCAAAAGUUGAGGAUUAGCAAUGACAGAACCACAAUAUCCACAAUACCCUGGACAUGCAAUUGGCAUUCUCUUCAUGGAUGCUAACAUCAGUAGCAACUUCUCAUCAAGUCAAAUGCCUCCUCUUCAGAGAGUCUUGCUCACUUUUUGUAACCCCUUUCACCAACCUCUGUGUCAUCUACCCUAUUUGUCACUUUUUUUUAAGAGGCAGGAUCUUGCUCUUGCUCUAUCACCCAGGCUGGAGUG
This 2424-nucleotide long non-coding RNA is filed under the name Homo sapiens (human). RNAcentral's name for it is "HSALNT0380586". Lineage: Eukaryota; Metazoa; Chordata; Mammalia; Primates; Hominidae. The record is from RNAcentral.